CCUACGGGAGGCAGCAGUGAGGAAUAUUGGUCAAUGGCCGAGAGGCUGAACCAGCCAAGUCGCGUGAGGGAAGAAUGUCCUAUGGAUUGUAAACCUCUUUUGUCAGGGAGCAAAGUCACCCACGUGUGGGUGUUGGAGAGUACCUGAAGAAAAAGCAUCGGCUAACUCCGUGCCAGCAGCCGCGGUAAUACGGAGGAUGCGAGCGUUAUCCGGAUUUAUUGGGUGUAAAGGGAGCGUAGGCGGGGAUGCAAGUUGGGUGUCAAAACUACCGGCUCAACUGGUAGUCGCACUCAAAACUGCAGCUCUUGAGUGAAGUAGAGGCAGGCGGAAUUCCUAGUGUAGCGGUGAAAUGCGUAGAUAUUAGGAGGAACACCAGUGGCGAAGGCGGCCUGCUGGGCUUUUACUGACGCUGAGGCUCGAAAGUGUGGGGAGCAAACAGGAUUAGAUACCCGGGUAGUC
Molecule: ribosomal RNA, 459 nt
Filed under: uncultured bacterium
Lineage: Bacteria
Description: partial 16S ribosomal RNA
Rfam family: Bacterial small subunit ribosomal RNA
Source: RNAcentral